This is a non-coding RNA of Lolium perenne, 458 nucleotides long. Lineage: Eukaryota; Viridiplantae; Streptophyta; Magnoliopsida; Poales; Poaceae. The record is from RefSeq and is a predicted model, not a curated record.
UGUAUACCAGCCCAAAUGAAGCCCAGGGGCUACUACCAUCUCCGCUUCCUCCACCGCCCGUGAAGGCAAAGGCGGCGACAGAGUGGAGAAACCGCGCCGGCGCGUCAGCGCCAUCCACCUCCGGCGACAUCCGCGGCCUCCGGCAGAGCUCGAGGCAUCCAGAAGUCCCACCAUGCUUGGACCCGGUAUGUAACUGCAAGAUGCUUCAAACAAAAUUAUGAGGUUGAGCAGGCGUGAGCUCCAGAGAGUGUUGCUGAAGCAGAUAGAGUAACUGAUCACCACCGAUGGCCAGGAAUCAGGAUUUUUUUCAGUAUUUUUUUUUGUAAAUUGUUUCUGUUAUGUUCUCUACUUCUCUGUAUAUCCAUUUUACAGCUUUUGUAACAAAUCUGGGCCUUUCGCAACAAGAAUAAAUGUCUGAUGAACCGCUGCUAAUACUACGACUUUGCAUGUUGACUGCA